CAUGCCUUUUAUGAGGGCCCAGACAUUAGCUUCUGUUGUAAGUUCCAUGUGGGAAGAUCACUGAAUUGUACCAAUAUAGCUGAUGGGAAUUUUUGGAUGAUCACUGUGUUGAGCACAUCAUGUUCCACCUGGACAAAAUACAAGAUGAAUGCAGAAGGGAUUUAAGGGAGCACAAAGCCCUAGCCAGAAGCCAAGCAGAUGCCAGGACUGAUUUCUUGAACUUCUCAGCUUCCAAAACUUACUGUAACUUACAUGAGAACUUUGAAGAUCUCCAAGAAACUUUUGAAAGGAACCCUAUUCAAGGAGAACCAAAUCUCUCCACAUAAAGACAAUUCUUCCCAUGAAGAGUUUCUGAGUCAUCAACAUAGUACAAAGACAGUCGUAGAAGGUAAGUAUGAAUAAAUUGUGAUUAAUUCUAGCCAGUAAAAAAUAUUACACAUCAUGGAAAAGAAUAGUGAACUGCAAUAAUGUUGUCAUUUUUUAUUUAUAAUAUCCAGGGGGUUAGAAUUGAUUAAAAAUCAUGUGCAUAUGUAAUAAAAAGUGAAUUUCCCCAGGAAUUUGGCAUCUACCAAAAAA
This is a non-coding RNA of Heterocephalus glaber (naked mole-rat), 576 nucleotides long. Lineage: Eukaryota; Metazoa; Chordata; Mammalia; Rodentia; Bathyergidae. The record is from RefSeq and is a predicted model, not a curated record.